Molecule: transfer RNA, 65 nt
Filed under: Anodonta anatina
Lineage: Eukaryota; Metazoa; Mollusca; Bivalvia; Unionida; Unionidae
Description: tRNA-Met
Source: RNAcentral
AACUAGGUAAGCUAAGACAAAGCUAGUGGGCUCAUAACCCAAAAAUGAUUAAUCUCCCUUGUUAU